Molecule: ribosomal RNA, 460 nt
Filed under: uncultured bacterium
Lineage: Bacteria
Description: partial 16S ribosomal RNA
Rfam family: Bacterial small subunit ribosomal RNA
Source: RNAcentral
CCUACGGGAGGCAGCAGUGAGGAAUAUUGGUCAAUGGACGAGAGUCUGAACCAGCCAAGUAGCGUGAAGGAUGACUGCCCUAUGGGUUGUAAACUUCUUUUAUAUGGGAAUAAAACGUUCCACGUGUGGGAUUUUGUAUGUACCAUAUGAAUAAGGAUCGGCUAACUCCGUGCCAGCAGCCGCGGUAAUACGGAGGAUCCGAGCGUUAUCCGGAUUUAUUGGGUUUAAAGGGAGCGUAGGUGGUUUGUUAAGUCAGUUGUGAAAGUUUGCGGCUCAACCGUAACAUUGCAGUUGAAACUGGCAGUCUUGAGUACAGUAGAGGUGGGCGGAAUUCGUGGUGUAGCGGUGAAAUGCUUAGAUAUCACGAAGAACUCCGAUUGCGAAGGCAGUUCACUGGACUGCAACUGACACUGAGGCUCGAAAGUGUGGGUAUCAAACAGGAUUAGAUACCCGAGUAGUC